AGGACCAAAUGAAAUCAAGGUAAAAGGCCUCUAAUACAUGGCAUAUGAGAUGAACAAGGGAGGAUCAAAAGAUCUCUUCAAUUUCCAUAAGCAAUCCCUAAGUCAAACAUCGAUCAUAAAGAAGUCAACUGAAAAUUCAAGUCAACUUAAAAAAUAACAAAUAAAUAGAAAAUUAAUCAAGAAAAUUAUGAAAAAUUAAACUAAAUAAGGUGGGGUCAGGACAUCAUCAUCCCCCAAAAAGAUUUUAAAAAUAACGAAAAUUG
This 263-nucleotide long non-coding RNA is filed under the name Lathyrus oleraceus (garden pea). Its description in RNAcentral is "Pisum sativum (pea) long non-coding RNA (PSAT_LNC026626)". Lineage: Eukaryota; Viridiplantae; Streptophyta; Magnoliopsida; Fabales; Fabaceae. The record is from RNAcentral.